UUUCCGUAGGUGAACCUGCGGAAGGAUCAUUAUUGGAUUUUGAAACUUCAGGCUGCUGCUGGCUCUCCUCGGAGGGCAUGUGCACGCUUGUUGUCCAUUAUUUCUCCCACUGUGCACAAAUUGUAGACCUUUCAGUAGGCCUAUGUUGGUUUUCACAAUCUCUGAAUGUAAUAGAAUGGUUUUGAAUCUUGGGAAAUACAAUACAACUUUCAGCAACGGAUCUCUUGGCUCUCGCAUCGAUGAAAAACGCAGC
This 253-nucleotide unclassified non-coding RNA is filed under the name plant metagenome. RNAcentral describes it as "partial contains small subunit ribosomal RNA, internal transcribed spacer 1, and 5.8S ribosomal RNA". The stretch from base 205 to 253 matches the Rfam family "5.8S ribosomal RNA", at positions 1 to 49 of the family's 154-position model. The record is from RNAcentral.